CCUACGGGAGGCAGCAGUGGGGAAUAUUGCGCAAUGGGCGAAAGCCUGACGCAGCGACGCCGCGUGAGGGAUGAAGGUCUUCGGAUCGUAAACCUCUGUCAGCAGGGAAGAACGGUCACUGUGCUAAUCAGCAGUGAAUUGACGGUACCUGCAAAGGAAGCACCGGCUAACUCCGUGACAGCAGCCGCGGUAAUUCGGAGGGUGCGAGCGUUAAUCGGAAUUACUGGGCGUAAAGCGCUCGUAGGCGGUAUGGCAAGUCAAGGGUGAAAUCCCCGCGCGCAACGUGGGAACUGCCUUUGAAACUGGCAAACUGGAGUGUGUGAGAGGAUAGUGGAAGUCCAGGGGUAGGAGUGAAAUCCGUAGAUAUCUGGAGGAACAGCAGUGGCGAAGGCGACUAUCUGGCACAUAACUGACGCUGAGGAGCGAAAGCGUGGGUAGCAAACAGGAUUAGAUACCCGAGUAGUC
RNAcentral lists this ribosomal RNA (465 nucleotides) under uncultured bacterium. Its description in RNAcentral is "partial 16S ribosomal RNA". It matches the Rfam family "Bacterial small subunit ribosomal RNA", at positions 338 to 795 of the family's 1533-position model. The record is from RNAcentral.